GUGUUGGCUUUGGCAGCACACACACUAAAAUUGGAAUGAUUGCAGGGAUGAUUAGCAUGGCCCCUAUGCAAGGAUGACACCCAAAUCCUGAAGCAUUUCAUAUCUUA
Small nuclear RNA from Nycticebus coucang (slow loris), 107 nucleotides. Lineage: Eukaryota; Metazoa; Chordata; Mammalia; Primates; Lorisidae. The record is from RefSeq and is a predicted model, not a curated record.